AUGUUGCAACUGGAUUAGGAUUGCUGGGCAAUUCUCCUUUGGCAGCAAGAAUUCGGGUUGCAUCUUCUUCCAUCUGCCAAAGGAGAGUUCACCCAGUAAUCCACCACCCCGUUCCCCGUGGCCGAACUGCUGUGCCCUUCCCAGGUUGGCGUUUGGCGGUGUAUAUAAGCCUGUGGUGAGACUAUGAUCGUGUUAGCAUAUGCGCAUAUCCCAAACGAACACAUAGUUGAAGCUGUGGAACAUCAAGCACACAUCGAAGACAAGUGCGAUCGAGGAAACCAGGAGAUCUCAAAUCUUCUUCGAUAAUGUAGUGAGAAGAGCACCCAUUUGGAAGAUCCAGGAGAAUGUUCCACGACCAGUAACAACAGGCAUCUGCUUCAGCUUGAGCAUCGCCAGUACAACAACAGAACGAGAAGGACCUCUACCUCUAACUUUUGGAGGACUGCACUUCUGUGGCGCAACUCAAGCUAGAGGAAAGGCAAAAAGGAGAAAGGGAAGAAAGCUCCUCGAGAAUAGUCCUGACGAGCAAGCAUAUGCUGCAGCAUAUCCCGAUAUGAUCCGUGGCGCCGCGAACUAUAAGUGCCUCCUAGUGACUGAGACAUGAUCUCAAGACAGUAAGAGGAGAGAAACAAGAAGCUGGAGACGCAGGAGGGGGUGUGAGAAUGACAGUGCAGUUCUUCUUUGGCAAGGAGUCAAAGCUGGUCCAAACGCACGCUUAAUUACCCUCCUUGCCAAAGGAGAAUUGCCCUGCCAUUUUCUGCCCCCGCAGUCGAUCGCUCACGAGAAGUUUGUCGAAUUGCAAAUUCAGAAGGAAGUAUAUCUCUCUGUAAGUAUCAGUGUCUUGCAGCCUUGUUUGGAUGAGAUCAUGGUGUAGCCGUCGGGUACUAUGCCGAUCUGAUCUUGCCUUUGGUAUGUAUCAUGAGAAACAUGAAACGGAUUCUGCGGCGAAGACACUCUGUGGUGGCAGUAAGAGACAACAUGAAUAUGCUGAAGUGUUCAUCAGUUUGUUCAUUUGAAUUUGGAUAAAUAUGCGAAACUAUAUGAUAACACACUAAACAAAGAACCAAACUAAAGUUUUGAACAUCACUAAUUGUUGGGUCCAGCCCAUACGUGGGCUUGGACAAUUGGGCCUGUUGAUCCCAAAUCAGAGAGAAAGGGUAAAAUUGGGCAGCGUGCAGGGUGUGUGUGCGCGCACAGUGAAAUUGCAGCGUGCAGCCUGCGGCGU
Long non-coding RNA from Musa acuminata AAA Group (dessert banana), 1225 nucleotides. RefSeq lists it as uncharacterized. Lineage: Eukaryota; Viridiplantae; Streptophyta; Magnoliopsida; Zingiberales; Musaceae. The record is from RefSeq and is a predicted model, not a curated record. The transcript has 3 exons.